RNAcentral lists this unclassified non-coding RNA (329 nucleotides) under soil metagenome. Its description in RNAcentral is "partial contains 5.8S ribosomal RNA, internal transcribed spacer 2, and large subunit ribosomal RNA". The stretch from base 1 to 120 matches the Rfam family "5.8S ribosomal RNA", at positions 35 to 154 of the family's 154-position model. The record is from RNAcentral.
GAUGAAGAACGCAGCGAAAUGCGAUAAGUAAUGUGAAUUGCAGAAUUCCGUGAAUCAUCGAAUCUUUGAACGCACAUUGCGCCCCUUGGUAUUCCGGGGGGCAUGCCUGUUCGAGCGUCAUUACAACCCUCAAGCUCUGCUUGGUCUUGGGCGUCACCGGUCCCCGGUGUGCCUUAAAAUCAGUGGCGGCGCCAUCUGGCUCUAAGCGUAGUACAUACUCUCGCUACAGACGUCCGGUGGAUGCUGGCCAGCAACCCCCAAUUUAUCAAGGUUGACCUCGGAUCAGGUAGGGAUACCCGCUGAACUUAAGCAUAUCAAUAAGCGGAGGA